CCCUUAGAUGUUCUGGGCAGCACGCGCGCUACAAUGGUCUUCGCAAACGGAUGCAUUCUCGAAGGAGAAUGCCAAUCUUGGAAUCUAUGCCUUGGUCGGGACAGUUGCUUGCAAUUUUUCGACUCGAACCAGGAAUUCCUUGUAAUCGUGAUUCAUCACAUCACGAUGAAUACGUCCCCGCCCUUUGUACACACCGCCCGUCGCUCCUACCGAUCGAAGAGUUAGGUGAAUUGUUUUGAUCGAUAAGAUUUGACUAUGGUCAACUCUCGUUGUGAAAUUCUGUGAAUCUGACUGUUUGGAGGAAGGAAAAGUCGUAACA
RNAcentral lists this ribosomal RNA (319 nucleotides) under uncultured eukaryote. RNAcentral describes it as "partial 18S ribosomal RNA". It matches the Rfam family "Eukaryotic small subunit ribosomal RNA", at positions 1470 to 1796 of the family's 1831-position model. The record is from RNAcentral.